CUGUACAAAGGUAUAACUAGCAGCACUUACAAGUCCCCCUAUAGGACCCAAAAUGGAGUCCAACAACUAGCAGCAAAUGCUGGUUAUAGAGAAAACUUCACUAAAGUGCUACCCCAAGAUUAUCUGAAUACCCACAUCACCAAAUCUGUUACAACUGAAACUAGCACAGCAGUGGCACCUGAUGAAAGAGACUUAAUAAUGUGAUAAAAAAGAACAGCAUGUCAGCAGCGAGAAUCCGAGUAAAUCUACAACUGUGAUGGAUAAUAGGACAUGACUAAGAAAUAAUUCUUUACAUUUAGAUAAAAUAAAAGCCAGAGGUAUCAAGUCUGGAGAUGUUUCACCUCCUGGGGAAGUAAAAUAUCCUGGUUUGACCUGGCUCAAGAGGCUGGCAAACAAAGAACUGCAAACUAGAGAGAGAGAGAGAGAGAUCACCUUGAUUUGGGAAAAAGGUCACAGACUCUCCAAGAACUGAAAGACCUGAGCCUAUGACCAAACACAGGCCCUGAGGUACUUAGGAACCUGCCAGGGUCUCCAUGCUGUAGAUGAAUGAAAAAUGCACCUCAUGAAGAUUUGCUUGUCAAGUGGCUUAGCAUAUCUUUCAGGUUAUGAAUACUGUCACAUCUGUUGGUUGUUCAGGGAUACAGGAACUUGAAAAUCAACAUGGUUAACAGAGAUGGGAAGAAUACACUAAAGUCAAUGUCUUGUCAUGGAAGGAGCAAACAACAUGUGCAGUCACAUGGGGAAGCUCUCCAAUCACAGGUCACAGGAUCAAUGCCUGUUUUGAUAAACAAGCAUCUGAAAAUAGUAAGAAAUGGCAAGAUGUACAAAAAAUAUUGCUUGAUAGUCAAAAUUUUAGCUAGUUUAACUAGUCCCCUUCCAUGGUCGCUAUGAUGUGUUAGAGAGCAACAGUUGUGGUUAGCUACUUGUCAGACAUAACACAACUUUUGCCUAUCAUUCCAGUGGCACCAUGAGAAUCAAAUACUUGAGCAAGACAGUUACUAAUAAAUGUAUGUCUUUCAGCACCAGAAACCAGGAGGUGCAUACUUAAUAGCUGUCUAGAAGCUAGGUGUUUUUUUUUACUAUCAUUGCAGAUGCAACC
Molecule: long non-coding RNA, 1099 nt
Organism: Mauremys reevesii (Reeves's turtle)
Lineage: Eukaryota; Metazoa; Chordata; Testudines; Geoemydidae
Exons: 4
Source: RefSeq, a predicted model, not a curated record